Triticum urartu is the source of this 344-nucleotide non-coding RNA. Lineage: Eukaryota; Viridiplantae; Streptophyta; Magnoliopsida; Poales; Poaceae. The record is from RefSeq and is a predicted model, not a curated record.
AAGACAAGGUUGCCAGGGAUUAUGAUCUGUCUGCUUUGAAACAUUGGGGGGGCAUCGACACACACCAAUUUCCCGAUUAGUGGAAAAUUAUCGAGAGGCGGAGGAGAUGUAAAGCAUGACAAGGCAAGAAUUCGUUGCACACUUGAGAAGUGAUCUCCUGGAGUUAGUUUCAGCAGAGAGAGGAGAUGAACCUGGGCAGCAGCCGAGCCUCAACCUGGGCGCAGGCGAGGAAGAGCCCAGCACCAGGUCGCCUCCACCUGGGCGCGCGCGGGCCAGGAGGAGCCCCUGGGCGUGGAGGAGGAGCGCUUGGGCAUGCGAGGACGCAGAUGGAGGUGGUCUGGAGC